RNAcentral lists this ribosomal RNA (798 nucleotides) under uncultured marine microorganism. RNAcentral describes it as "bacterial SSU rRNA". It matches the Rfam family "Bacterial small subunit ribosomal RNA", at positions 8 to 850 of the family's 1533-position model. The record is from RNAcentral.
AGAGUUUGAUCAUGGCUCAGGAUGAACGCUGGCGGUAUGCCUAACACAUGCAAGUCGAACGAUGUCUUCGGACAUAGUGGCGGACGGGUGAGUAACGCGUGAGAAUCUGCCUCUAGGAUGGGGAUAACGGUUGGAAACGACCGCUAACACCCAAUAUGCCGUAAGGUGAAAAAUUUAUUGCCUGGAGAGGAGCUCGCGUCUGAUUAGCUAGUUGGUGGGGUAAGAGCUCACCAAGGCCUCGAUCAGUAGCUGGUCUGAGAGGAUGAGCAGCCACACUGGGACUGAGACACGGCCCAGACUCCUACGGGAGGCAGCAGUGGGGAAUUUUCCGCAAUGGGCGAAAGCCUGACGGAGCAAUACCGCGUGAGGGAGGAAUGCCUUUGGGUUGUAAACCUCUUUUCUCAGGGAAGAAGAUCUGACGGUACCUGAGGAAUAAGUAUCGGCUAACUCCGUGCCAGCAGCCGCGGUAAUACGGAGGAUGCAAGCGUUAUCCGGAAUCAUUGGGCGUAAAGCGUCCGCAGGUGGUUUCCAAAGUCUGCUGUUAAAGACUGGAGCUCAACUCCGGAACGGCGGUGGAAACUUGGAAACUAGAGUUCGGUAGGGGUAGCAGGAAUUCCCAGUGUAGCGGUGAAAUGCGUAGAUAUUGGGAAGAACAUCGGUGGCGAAGGCGUGCUACUGGACCGUAACUGACACUCAGGGACGAAAGCUAGGGGAGCGAAAGGGAUUAGAUACCCCUGUAGUCCUAGCUGUAAACGAUGGAAACUAGGUGUGGCUUGUAUCGACCCGAGCCGUGCCGUA